RNAcentral lists this ribosomal RNA (253 nucleotides) under uncultured bacterium. Its description in RNAcentral is "partial 16S ribosomal RNA". It matches the Rfam family "Bacterial small subunit ribosomal RNA", at positions 524 to 776 of the family's 1533-position model. The record is from RNAcentral.
UACGGAGGGUGCGAGCGUUGUCCGGAAUCACUGGGCGUAAAGGGCGCGUAGGCGGCCCUUCUUGUCGCGUGUGAAAGCCCCGGGCUCAACCUGGGAAUGGCGCGCGAGACGGGGGGGCUGGAGUUCGGGAGAGGAGCGUGGAAUUCCCAGUGUAGAGGUGAAAUUCGUAGAUAUUGGGAAGAACACCGGUGGCGAAGGCGGCGCUCUGGACCGAGACUGACGCUGUGGCGCGAAAGCGUGGGGAGCAAACAGG